Oryzias latipes (Japanese medaka) is the source of this 1695-nucleotide non-coding RNA. The record is from RefSeq and is a predicted model, not a curated record. NCBI's taxonomy places the organism in Eukaryota, Metazoa, Chordata, Actinopteri, Beloniformes, Adrianichthyidae.
GACACUUCACCAGUGCAGGUUGGUGACUGGGUGUUUGUGGAGGCCAUAAAAAGGAAGUGUUGGUCCAGCCCACGGGGGGAAGGGCCAUUCCAAGUCCUGCUGACUACACCAACAGCUGUAAAGAUUGCUGAAAGGACGUCUUGGAUCCACCUGUCACACUGCAAGAAAAAGCAUCUGGGUGAGGCUAAUUCCAACUGCUAGGUGGGGAAGUCUGACUACAAAGGGAGGCAGCUGUAUAGAAGCUGCUUGUCUCAACGUCAGCGAAGCCGAGACAUCCACCUAGUCUUAGGGAAGAAAGCACACCAGAACUCUUUUGCACUACACGGAUCCUACACUGUUAGAGGACUUGAGGAGGUGAUGUGCUAGUAACCUCUCCCUCCCGAAGAUAGGUACAUAUCCACCAUGGCGUGUCCAACUGGGCUAAGAGACAGUUUAUUUUGUUUACUGUUCCUGCUAUUCCUGACAGGAGCCACCACAUGGAUUUGGUUCUUUUGGAAUCAUUAUCCACCCGCAAGAAGAACCACCAGUGAGGAAAGAAACAUUUCUCGACGAUGGCUGAGUAUUGAUGAACAUGAUGUUUUGAAUAGUCCAAAAAUGAACAUAACUCACCUGUAUAUGACAAAUUCUUGGUAUAGGUAUGUUAUGUUACUGACUGACUAAAGAAUAGAUCGGAUUGCUAUGUUUGUUCUGUAAUUGAAGCUUCAUCCCUACAUCCUAAUUUGCAGGCAAAGCAAUUUUCUGAGUGGAAAAGCGACUGUGUUAUUGAAUAUAGUACCAGAGGGUAUAUUAGUACUGGAGCCGUCACCACUUCAAAUGGAACUCUUGUAAGACCGAGUUGUAAGAGUUUGUAUCAGUUUAAAAAACUGAAAUUGACAAAAUCAUUAGCUCCAUAUGCUAGUGUGGAACCAGGAACUGUGUUUCCACAUUGCGUAACUAACAAUGGCACAGAGUUUUUAGGAACUUUGCCGACGAAGAUGUGUCAUGAACUUCUUGUUCCCUUCACAGUCCAGAUAAUCAAUGACAGAGUUUCCCAUGGUUAUGCAGUUCCCUGCCCCAGAGGACGUUGUGUUGGAUCUAAUCCAGAUUUAAUUCCAGGUAACAAUGGUACUUAUGUGGUUGAUCAAAUGUUUUGGUUAUGUGGGCAGGCCCUCUACCUCAGUCUGCCUAGAGACUGGAGUGGGAUUUGUGCUCCCGUAAAGGUCACAGAUCACACUUUCAUAGUUUCUGCAGUCCAUGAGCCUCACCUGCGCCACAGACGUAACCUUAUUGAUGUCAAGCCACAUGAUUCCAUUUGGGGAUCAGAUGUACCUGGAGACCAUAAACUCUGGAAUACGGGGCAAAAGAUGAAGGUCACAGCAUCACUGAAGCAUUACAUCAACUUGAAUAGGUUCAACAGGCAAUGCAGGAUGACAGGAAACCCCAAUCUUGGGAUUUCUUCUCCUGGUUUGCUUUUGGUUCCUGGUAGCAACUUUGUUAAAAAUAGUGACACCUAUUCUUAUGGUACUGAUCAUAUGUUGUGUGUUCACUAUGUGCAUUUUUCCUUGUAUUCAAUCUAUGAUUUCCAGAGCAGUGAAUGGUGGAGUACAAAGUGUUCUUCUGAGUCAAGAAUACAACUUGUUAUUAAAGGGAGAACAAGAUGACUGUAAUGAUUUUGAAAUUGAAAUGACUUGAAAAAAAAAAAAAAAAAAAAAAAAA